RNAcentral lists this non-coding RNA (148 nucleotides) under Gorilla gorilla gorilla (western lowland gorilla). The record is from Rfam by way of RNAcentral. Lineage: Eukaryota; Metazoa; Chordata; Mammalia; Primates; Hominidae.
GCCGGGUGUUGCGGCGCACACCUGUAAUCCCAGCUACUCGGGAGGCUGAGGCAGGAGGAUCACUUGAACCUGGGUGGCGAAGGUUGCAGUGAGCUGAGAUCAUGUCACUGCACUCCAUCCUGGGCAACAGAGUGAGAUUCUGUCUCUG